UAAAGUGGUAUCAACAUUUCCUUUCCCGCAUAAAUGAAUAACAUUAAAUUCGUUUAAUAGUUCGGGUAAAUUAUUUCGCAAGGCAUCAUUUAAAACAACAGAACCUAAACUUCCUCCCAUAACAAGAAGUAUUUUCUUAUCUUCUUCAAAUCCAC
Molecule: non-coding RNA, 155 nt
Filed under: uncultured Ureibacillus sp.
Lineage: Bacteria; Bacillati; Bacillota; Bacilli; Caryophanales; Caryophanaceae
Source: RNAcentral